AGAGUUUGAUCCUGGCUCAGGACGAACGCUGGCGGCGGGCUUAACACAUGCAAGUCGCGGGAGAACCGCCCUCUUCGGAGGGCGGGGGCACCGGCGGAUGGGUGAGUAACGCGUAGGCAAUCUGCCCGGGAGACGGGGAUAACGCGCCGAAAGGCGCGCUAAUACCCGAUGAUGCAGCGGGGUCGCAUGACCACAGUUGUUAAAGGCCUUCGGGCCGCUUUCGGAGGAGCCUGCGUGCCAUUAGCUAGUUGGGGGGGUAACGGCCUCCCAAGGCGAUGAUGGCUAGGGGGUCUGAGAGGAUGAUCCCCCACACUGGGACUGAGACACGGCCCAGACUCCUACGGGAGGCAGCAGUGAGGAAUCUUGCGCAAUGGGGGCAACCCUGACGCAGCCACGCCGCGUGCUGGAAGACGGCCCUAUGGGUUGUAAACAGCUUUUGGGCGGGAAGAACCCGGGAUGUUCGCAUCCCGCUGACGGUACCGCCCGAAUAAGCACCGGCUAACUCCGUGCCAGCAGCCGCGGUAAUACGGAGGGUGCAAGCGUUGUCCGGAAUUAUUGGGUGUAAAGGGUGCGCAGGCGUCCCGGCAUGUUUUCGGUGAAAUCCUCCCGCUCAACGGGAGAAGCGCCGGAAAAACGGUCGGGAUUGAGUCCGGAAGAGGCCAGUGGAAAUUGGUGGUGUAGCGGUGAAAAUGCAUUAGAG
Molecule: ribosomal RNA, 700 nt
Filed under: uncultured bacterium
Lineage: Bacteria
Description: bacterial SSU rRNA
Rfam family: Bacterial small subunit ribosomal RNA
Source: RNAcentral